UGCCCAGCAACUCCUAUCCCUACCUCCUCGCCGUACUGGCCGGGGUACGAGCAACCUUAGGGAAGAUCGGGUAACCAACCCCGGUGGGAGAUUUGGUCAUAUGCUGACAGGGAAGA
Molecule: ribozyme, 116 nt
Filed under: Aedes aegypti (yellow fever mosquito)
Lineage: Eukaryota; Metazoa; Arthropoda; Insecta; Diptera; Culicidae
Description: drz-agam-1 ribozyme
Rfam family: drz-agam-1 ribozyme
Source: Rfam by way of RNAcentral